RNAcentral lists this ribosomal RNA (323 nucleotides) under uncultured eukaryote. RNAcentral's name for it is "partial 18S ribosomal RNA". It matches the Rfam family "Eukaryotic small subunit ribosomal RNA", at positions 1470 to 1796 of the family's 1831-position model. The record is from RNAcentral.
CCCUUAGAUGUUCUGGGCCGCACGCGUGCUACACUGAGUGGAUCAGCGGGUCAGGUUGCGCGAAAGCGUUUCCUAAUCUUUAAAUCCGCUCGUGAUGGGGAUUGACGGUUGCAAUUUUCUGUCAUGAACGAGGAAUACCUUGUAAGCGCGGGUCAUCAUCCCGCGCUGAAUACGUCCCUGCCCUUUGUACACACCGCCCGUCGCUCCUACCGAUUGAACGAUCCGAUGAAAACUGUGGAUUGAGAGUCUGAGUGGGUUCGCCUACCUCAACUUUCGAGAAGCGGUUUAAAUCUUAUCGUUUAGAGGAAGGAGAAGUCGUAACA